CAGGAUGCGCAGCGCCGGCCGGCGGCUCCGCGCCUGAGCGCGCUCCCGACACGCCCGGGCAGGUGGUGGAUGUGGACUUUAAAACCGUGUGUCUCAACAUUUCAUCCUCAACUAUCUCUUUUUAAUCUGAUUGCACUACAAAAGAAAAGCUGCUAAUGGGAUAAAUGUUGAGACGUUGCAAGAACUGACUUGAAGUACCCAAAGCCAUUACUCUAACUCAAGAGGAGCUCCAAGCCAAGCCUGCGUCCGACUCGUCAGUCCCGUUUCCAGACAACAGGCAUGGCAAGUAAACGCAAGUCAACCACCCCUUGCAUGGUCCUGGCCAACGAGCAGGAUCCGGACCUGGAAGCGGGGCCAGGUUUGGAGGGAGCAGCCCCUGCGCCGGCGCCGGCCGAGAAGGCCCCGGCCGAGAGCGCGGCCAGCGACGAGGACGUCCCCGAGAGYGGGGAUCCGGACAAUCAGAAGAGUUUGAAAGUGGAAGGAGGCUAUGAAUGUAAAUACUGUACUUUCCAAACUCCGGAUCUCAAUAUGUUUACUUUUCACGUGGAUUCGGAACACCCCAACGUAGUAUUAAAUUCAUCCUACGUUUGUGUGGAGUGCAAUUUUCUUACCAAAAGAUACGAUGCGCUCUCAGAGCAUAAUCUCAAGUACCACCCUGGCGAGGAGAAUUUUAAGUUGACCAUGGUGAAACGGAACAACCAGACCAUCUUUGAGCAAACAGUAAAUGAUCUCACCUUCGAUGGGAGUUUUGUUAGAGAGGAGAACGCCGAACAGGCUGACCCUUCUGAGGUGCCCUCCUCGGGGAUCUCCAUCAGCAAAACGCCUAUUAUGAAAAUGAUGAAAACCAAGACGGAGGCGAAGCGCAUCGCUGUUUUCCACGGCGUAGCCGAUGACGUUCCCGGUGAAGAGAAGGGAGCUGAGGAGGAGCCGAACGGCGACGAAGCCGCGGAAAAGCCGGCGCCGGCGCUCGCCGAGUCGCAGGGGAGCCGCUCGGCCGCCGGCGGCGCCGCCGAGGUGGCUCGUGCCGUGGUGACCCCGGCCGCAGUGGUGCCGCCCGGCGUGGCCCAGGUCCUGACGGCCGUCACAGCGCCGCAGAAUCCCGGCCUCAUUCCCAAAGUCUUAAUACCUGUAAACAGCAUUCCAGCCUAUAAUACCGCUUUGGAUAACAAUCCUCUUUUGCUGAACACCUACAACAAAUUCCCUUACCCAACCAUGUCAGAAAUCACUGUUCUUUCCACCCAAGCCAAGUACACAGAGGAGCAGAUUAAGAUCUGGUUUUCUGCCCAGCGCCUGAAGCACGGCGUGAGCUGGACGCCCGAGGAGGUGGAGGAAGCCAGGAGGAAGCAGUUCAACGGCACCGUGCACACCGUGCCCCAGACCAUUACCGUGAUCCCCGCGCACAUUUCGGCCAGCAACGGGCUGCCCUCCAUCCUGCAGACGUGCCAGAUAGUUGGUCAGCCGGGACUUGUUCUCACCCAGGUGGCGGGCGCCAACGCGCUGCCCGUAACGGCCCCCAUCGCCCUCACCGUGGCGGGAGUCCCGAGUCAGACGCAGCUGCAGAAGAGCCAGGCUCACGCCGCUCAGCCCAGCGCGGACACCAAGCAAGUGGCCGCCGUGCCGGCCCCCCAGCCUAUCAAAAACGAAGCCCCGCUGCUGAACCCCGACUCCUUCAGCAGCCGAGCCAAAAAAACCAAGGAGCAGCUGGCGGAGUUGAAGGUCAGCUACCUGCAAAACCACUUCCCUCAGGAUUCAGAAAUCGUUCGGCUUAUGAAAAUCACAGGCCUGACGAAAGGCGAGAUCAAGAAGUGGUUCAGCGAUACGCGCUACAACCAGAGAAACUCCAAGAAUAACCACGGGCUUCACCUCRGCAGCGAUUCCUGUGCCCCCAUUGUGAUCGACUCCAGCGAUGAAAUGACCGAGUCCCCGACGGGGGUCACGGCGCAGGGCAAGGCUUCCUGGAGCGCCUUCCCCGACGUCACCCCACAGAAAUUCAAGGAGAAGACGGCCGAACAGCUGCAGGUCCUCCAGGCAAGUUUUCUUAGUAACCCUGUGCUAACAGACGAGGAAAUGAAUAGGUUAAGAGCCCAAACCAAACUGACCAGGAGAGAGAUUGAUGCUUGGUUUACAGAAAGAAGGAAAUCUGAGGUCCCGAAGGAAGAGGGAGCUGACUUGAAUGAUAGCAAUGCCAGCAGCUCAAAAGAGGAGGCUGGGGAAACAUCUGCAGGAGAUGGAGCAGGGCCCAAAUCAGGGGGUUCCUCCGCUAGCAAAGUCGUCAAAAAAUCACCGGAGCAGCUGCACCUGCUGAAAAGUUCCUUUGUCCGCACUCAGUGGCCGUCUCCCCAGGAAUACAACAAGCUGGCAGAAGAAACGGGGCUCCCGAGGUCGGAAAUCGUGAGCUGGUUUGGAGACACUCGCUAUGCCUGGAAGAACGGCGGGUUGAAGUGGUAUUACUACUACCAGAGCGCCAACGCAAACAGCCUGAACGGGCAAGGCCUCGUGAGGAAGAGAGGGAGAGGAAGGCCCAAAGGGAGGGGGAGAGGAAGGCCUCGGGGAAGGCCUCGGGGAAGCAAGAGGUUAAACAGCUGGGACAGAGGAGUGUCUGUCAUAAAGUUCAAAACUGGAGCCGCAAUCCUGAAGGACUAUUACAUGAAGCACAAAUUCCUCAACGAGCAGGACCUUGAUGAACUUGUAGCCAAAUCUCACAUGGGAUACGAGCAGGUCAGAGAGUGGUUUGCAGAGAGACAGAGAAGAUUAGAGCUUGGAAUAGAGCUCUUUGAGGAGAACGAGGAGGAGGAUGAAACGCUGGAAGAACAGGAGGAGGAGGAAGAGACGGAUGACAGCGACACGUGGGAACCUCCCCGGCACGUUAAGCGCAAACUCUCAAAAUCGGAUUGAUGUGCAAUUUGGGGGCCAAACACCCAUGGAUUGGGGUUGACGUURUGAUGAAAAGCCAAACAGUUGGUGGUGACCUUCUGUUUUAGCAGGCACUCGCUUAGUAUCUUCCUUGAGCCUAAGAGAGCAUGGCCAAGGCGCAGCCCAGGCCGGCCACCGGGAGGGCCUUCCUUGCUCCCAGAGAUGGACGUGCUCAGGCCAAGCCUAGGACACGGAGGUGCAAAUCAGCUCCAGAAGUUCCUCUUCUGCGUUCCUGAUGGGAAGGUUCAUCACUCACAUGACUGCUUCUCAGUAUUUAAUUGCCUUAUGUUGUUUAAUUCCAAAAAAACAAAAAACAGAGACACGUUUUUCCGCUGUUGUUGGAGGACAUUGCCCGCUCACCAAGGAGGGAAAUACAAAAACCUAAGAUGUCUUUUUGCAAACGUCACUUCGCCUGAAAGGUUUCAAGGCYUGGGGUUUUUUCUUGAGGAAAGAAUUGAAAAGAAAAGAGAAGGGGAGAAAAGUGUGACAAAGGAAUCAAUGAACCUAGGGGUGAGGAUUGCUUGGUUUGAGAAAAUGAGGCCAYGUUGGUACCUCUCGUGUAUCUUCAAAGUGUUUGGGGUUUACAGAACUUGUGCUGAAAUGUUUCCUGUUGGCAAUUCUGAGCUAACUGCAUGAGUUGAAAAGCAGAAGAUACUUUUCGUUAAACCUAAUCAGUGUGUCCUACAUCAGCUCAGUUUAAAUACCUGACAGGUUUGAUGUAGUUGAUAGCAAGAUUUCUUUGUAGCUUGUGCAUCCAUUCCUUUGUUGGAAAAUGUGAGGAAAAGCGUAUUUUUAGCCAAAAAAUAUACCUAUCAUGAAAGUUCCCCUAAAGAGUCUGCUAGAGCGAGAGAAGAGCUCAAGUUGCCACGACUCCGUCUGUGAUACGAAAAGAGGAACCACAAGAGCUUCAUUUUGGUUUUGAAACGUUCCUCCCCCUUCAGUUCCAGCUUACGAAAGUGUUCUCGGUUUUGCUCGGUUGAUUUUCUGCAUGUGCACUUAUAGUUUGUAUGGAAAUGCACUAAAAUGAGUUACCCUACCUGGGAAGGCUUUAUAUUGUAUAGAAAAUGUGGCACUAGGUACUGCUCUUCACGUGCACAGGAGAGUUAACAGGUGUCAGUCUCGUUUACAGAAAUGAUGGAGCUUUGCAAUUCCUAUAAUAUAUUGCAAUAUAUUUAAAUGUCCUGUUUGACAUGUGAAAUGAAAUUAAGUUAAUGCGUUGUAAUGUAUUUGAAGUACGAGGAAGACGAUUCACUAACGACCAGCAAGGUUUCGAGGAGGUGUCCAGUAUGUAGCAAUCUGUGUGAUCUGUCUGGUGUAUCCGAUGUUAAAGGGAGCGACAAAACUGUUACCGUUCAGAUGAAGAGUUUCUCUCGACUGAUGCAAUAGCUUUCGGUGUCUUUCCUUCGUAGCUGCCCGGAGGGGCGAAGGGGAAGCGAUCCUUGAAAAGAGAUAAACUGGUUAACUGUGAAUGGGCCGAAUCUCUCGUGAAGCCAAGAACAUUUUUGGACACACACACACAGGACUUGAAUACUCAAAAGGAUUGGAGCUUAGUGUUGUGCCAAAGUUAAACUACUGCAGUCGGCAGAAGUUCUGCACUGUAAAUACAAGACUGAUUAAAAGACAGCUUGUAAAAAAAAAAAAGAAAAAGACAAAAAAAAAGGACAAAUUUUAAUACAGUACGUUUUUAUUCUGAUACAUGAUGGAAACAUUCUGUUUUAGACCUUUUUUGAAGAGGCUUCAGUGACCACUAGAUUUUGUCCUCCUAUAUUUUGUUUGGCCUAUUACUAUAUGUUCUAGUAAGAUGGGCUUUAUUGCCUGUGUUCUUUGAUAUGUGAUUAAGCUUAUAGCUUUGAGUGACCAAACAUUUUACAGAGUAAAAGUUCUUAGAAACAGUAUAACGUAACUGAUAUUUCUGUGUCUUAUUUAUCAGGCUCUGCACAAACCUGGAAGGUUGUGCUGGACUUGGACAACUCAUAUAUGGGAACGCAGCAUAUUCCUUAACAGUACAGCCCUAAGCCUUCGUGGCAGUAAGGAUCUUGUCUUUGGAUUUAUUUUUAUUAUUAUUAUUAUUUUUGAGGCAAAGAAAUGAAUGCUGCUGUAAAAUAUUUGUAAUAUUGCCAUUAUUGCUUUCUGUAGCAAUUACUGCU
Molecule: RNA transcript, 5060 nt
Organism: Nothoprocta perdicaria
Lineage: Eukaryota; Metazoa; Chordata; Aves; Tinamiformes; Tinamidae
Gene: ZHX1
Gene name: zinc fingers and homeoboxes 1
Exons: 3
Source: RefSeq, a predicted model, not a curated record